UUCGUCACACUAUCAUUAACUGAAUCCAUAGGUUAAUGAGGCGAACCGGGGGAACUGAAACAUCUAAGUACCCCGAGGAAAAGAAAUCAACCGAGAUUCCCCCAGUAGCGGCGAGCGAACGGGGAGCAGCCCAGAGCCUGAAUCAGUGUGUGUGUUAGUGGAAGCGUCUGGAAAGGCGCGCGAUACAGGGUGACAGCCCCGUACACAAAAAUGCACAUGCUGUGAGCUCGAUGAGUAGGGCGGGACACGUGGUAUCCUGUCUGAAUAUGGGGGGACCAUCCUCCAAGGCUAAAUACUCCUGACUGACCGAUAGUGAACCAGUACCGUGAGGGAAAGGCGAAAAGAACCCCGGCGAGGGGAGUGAAAAAGAACCUGAAACCGUGUACGUACAAGCAGUGGGAGCACGCUUAGGCGUGUGACUGCGUACCUUUUGUAUAAUGGGUCAGCGACUUAUAUUCUGUAGCAAGGUUAACCGAAUAGGGGAGCCGAAGGGAAACCGAGUCUUAACUGGGCGUUAAGUUGCAGGGUAUAGACCCGAAACCCGGUGAUCUAGCCAUGGGCAGGUUGAAGGUUGGGUAACACUAACUGGAGGACCGAACCGACUAAUGUUGAAAAAUUAGCGGAUGACUUGUGGCUGGGGGUGAAAGGCCAAUCAAACCGGGAGAUAGCUGGUUCUCCCCGAAAGCUAUUUAGGUAGCGCCUCGUGAAUUCAUCUCCGGGGGUAGAGCACUGUUUCGGCAAGGGGGUCAUCCCGACUUACCAACCCGAUGCAAACUGCGAAUACCGGAGAAUGUUAUCACGGGAGACACACGGCGGGUGCUAACGUCCGUCGUGAAGAGGGAAACAACCCAGACCGCCAGCUAAGGUCCCAAAGUCAUGGUUAAGUGGGAAACGAUGUGGGAAGGCCCAGACAGCCAGGAUGUUGGCUUAGAAGCAGCCAUCAUUUAAAGAAAGCGUAAUAGCUCACUGGUCGAGUCGGCCUGCGCGGAAGAUGUAACGGGGCUAAACCAUGCACCGAAGCUGCGGCAGCGACGCUUAUGCGUUGUUGGGUAGGGGAGCGUUCUGUAAGCCUGUGAAGGUGUGCUGUGAGGCAUGCUGGAGGUAUCAGAAGUGCGAAUGCUGACAUAAGUAACGAUAAAGCGGGUGAAAAGCCCGCUCGCCGGAAGACCAAGGGUUCCUGUCCAACGUUAAUCGGGGCAGGGUGAGUCGACCCCUAAGGCGAGGCCGAAAGGCGUAGUCGAUGGGAAACAGGUUAAUAUUCCUGUACUUGGUGUUACUGCGAAGGGGGGACGGAGAAGGCUAUGUUGGCCGGGCGACGGUUGUCCCGGUUUAAGCGUGUAGGCUGGUUUUCCAGGCAAAUCCGGAAAAUCAAGGCUGAGGCGUGAUGACGAGGCACUACGGUGCUGAAGCAACAAAUGCCCUGCUUCCAGGAAAAGCCUCUAAGCAUCAGGUAACAUCAAAUCGUACCCCAAACCGACACAGGUGGUCAGGUAGAGAAUACCAAGGCGCUUGAGAGAACUCGGGUGAAGGAACUAGGCAAAAUGGUGCCGUAACUUCGGGAGAAGGCACGCUGAUAUGUAGGUGAAGUCCCUCGCGGAUGGAGCUGAAAUCAGUCGAAGAUACCAGCUGGCUGCAACUGUUUAUUAAAAACACAGCACUGUGCAAACACGAAAGUGGACGUAUACGGUGUGACGCCUGCCCGGUGCCGGAAGGUUAAUUGAUGGGGUCAGCGCAAGCGAAGCUCUUGAUCGAAGCCCCGGUAAACGGCGGCCGUAACUAUAACGGUCCUAAGGUAGCGAAAUUCCUUGUCGGGUAAGUUCCGACCUGCACGAAUGGCGUAAUGAUGGCCAGGCUGUCUCCACCCGAGACUCAGUGAAAUUGAACUCGCUGUGAAGAUGCAGUGUACCCGCGGCAAGACGGAAAGACCCCGUGAACCUUUACUAUAGCUUGACACUGAACAUUGAGCCUUGAUGUGUAGGAUAGGUGGGAGGCUUAGAAGUGUGGACGCCAGUCUGCAUGGAGCCGACCUUGAAAUACCACCCUUUAAUGUUUGAUGUUCUAACGUUGACCCGUAAUCCGGGUUGCGGACAGUGUCUGGUGGGUAGUUUGACUGGGGCGGUCUCCUCCUAAAGAGUAACGGAGGAGCACGAAGGUUGGCUAAUCCUGGUCGGACAUCAGGAGGUUAGUGCAAUGGCAUAAGCCAGCUUGACUGCGAGCGUGACGGCGCGAGCAGGUGCGAAAGCAGGUCAUAGUGAUCCGGUGGUUCUGAAUGGAAGGGCCAUCGCUCAACGGAUAAAAGGUACUCCGGGGAUAACAGGCUGAUACCGCCCAAGAGUUCAUAUCGACGGCGGUGUUUGGCACCUCGAUGUCGGCUCAUCACAUCCUGG
This 2387-nucleotide ribosomal RNA is filed under the name Escherichia coli. RNAcentral describes it as "partial 23S ribosomal RNA". It matches the Rfam family "Bacterial large subunit ribosomal RNA", at positions 139 to 2550 of the family's 2925-position model. Lineage: Bacteria; Pseudomonadati; Pseudomonadota; Gammaproteobacteria; Enterobacterales; Enterobacteriaceae. The record is from RNAcentral.